Molecule: non-coding RNA, 79 nt
Filed under: Bacillus sp. (in: firmicutes)
Lineage: Bacteria; Bacillati; Bacillota; Bacilli; Caryophanales; Bacillaceae
Also listed under: 1 other name
Description: Bacillus sp. Glycine sequence
Rfam family: Glycine riboswitch aptamer
About the family: This family represents the bacterial glycine riboswitch.
Source: RNAcentral
GGAGCAGCUUCUGGAGAGACCGCCAAUUGCGUGGCGCCGAAGGAUUCACAAUCUCAGGCAAAAGGACAGAAGAGUAACU